CCCCCCCCCCAAAGGUAAACGGUUGACUUCUUCUUAAGUUUUAAUGGUCUUAAAAAUUUCAAUGUAAAAAAAAGAAAUCUUUAUCAUAGUUAAGGAAAAUCAAUGCUUCCAGUAAAUUUUAUCUAUGUGAAAUAACAUUGAUUCUUAGUAAUAAAUGGUCAGAGGGCAAACAGCUGUUUCCUUCAAAUACUUAUGAUCUGUUGAAUCAUUAGUAUUUGAUCAGUAAUGUAUUAUUUUUUUGCCUUAGGUGUGUGUGUGUGUGUGUGUGUGUGUGUGUGUGUGUGUUGUGUAUUGGUUUUGUUUCACCUCACUACUGUGCAUUGCUUAUUAUUCUUUUCUUCUUUUUUUUCUCCUCUCUUCUACAGUGUGUCUUUUGUCCUGUCUCCCUCCCCUCACCCACAAUCAGUCUCUGCAGAUGGCUGCACCUCCCUGAGCCUGGUUCUGCCAGAGGUUUCUUCCUGUUAAAAGGGAGUUCUUCCUUCCCACCAUUGCCACAUGCUUGCUUGGUGCCAUAUACAGUCAUAUAAAAAUGUUUGGGAACCUUUCUUCUGGAUGGAAAUUUUCGAUAACAUUACAAGUCAGAGGACUGUGAAGCCAUUCCAGAACAUUGUACUUCUCCCAUGAUGCCUUUGUAGAUUUCGAACUGUUUUGGGUCAUUGUCUUGUUGAAGUGUCAACCCCACAAACUUAAACUCUGUGACUGAUGCUUGAACAUUAUCCUGAAGAAUUGGUUGACGUUGGGUUGACUUCAUGAACUAGCCCCACAGCCCACAGCAUGAUGAAGCCUCCACCAAAUUUGACAGUGGGUAGCAGGUGUUUUUCUUGUAAUGCAGCUUUUUCUUCUGCCAUACAAAGUGCUUUUUGUCAUGAGACUCAAUUAUUAUUUCAUCAGUCCAAAGCUCUUUCUUCCUAAAUGAAUCUGGCUUAUUUAAUUGAGCUUUUGCAUACAAGCCUCCCCUGAACGAUCUUUGUUUUCAGAUCUUUGAGAGUUGCCUUGACGAUCCCAUGCUGUCACUCUUCAGAGGAGAGUCAAAGAGAAGCACAACUUGCCAUGUGCCACCUUAAAUACCUUUUCUUAUAAUUGGACACACCUGUAUUUAAAGUUAAAGACUUAACAAGCUAAUUUUGGUAUGUACCCAAUUUUUUUGCACAGCAGGUUUUCACAUUGAAUUUCAUACAAGUAAAUACUGCUUCACUUAAAUCUUUGUCUGGAAAACACUGCAGUACUCAGAUAUUCCUAGAAAAUAAAAGACAUACCACUGUUAUCUUUUUUGGUGAAAGUAGAGUGAAUUAUUAUGAUGCUGAGAGGGGUUACCAAAUGUUUUCAUAUGAGUGUAAUUACUAUUUAAUCAAUUUAAAUAAAUGCUACUGAGCUUCAUGGAACAGGUUGGAUCAGUGUUAAGAUUUUAGUUUUGAAUUUUUGGCGUUUUUUUCCCCCUUCCAGCCCAAAAAGGUUAGAUUAUUUUGGUUUUUAUUUACUGUUCAUCAUCUUAUCAACAAAUUAGUGUAUAUUUUCAACCUAACCAUUUGAUUCAUUAAAACUGUAUUUUUGAGCAGUACAAUUUGUCUCAACAAAAUGGUCCUCAUACAAGUCCCACAGCGAUGGAGCAGUCAGCAAUGUUGACUUGUCGCAAUAAAGCUUAAAGCCGUUUGGAUGGGCCCUUUCUGCGUGGAGUUCACAGGUUGUAUGUUUUCUCUCACAGCACCAAAACAUACAAGGUAAACUGAUAUCACUCUAAAGCAACUGUACAAGGAUGGAUAGAUAAAUUGACAUCCUAACUGGUAAUCAAAGGUGUACGGGUGUAACACACAUGUAUCUGCAGCUGUUACAGAUAUAGAUGAGUUAUAAUUUAACAUCAAUGUUUCCUUUAACUUUGCAGAGAUAUUCCCACGUGAUGCUUCACUGAAACCAAAAUGUUACCCAUAGAUGUGUGGUUUCUCAUUUUACCCCCCACCAAAAAGACCUGCUGUUUUAGAGGGUUUAGAGAUAACCUGAACUCCACCGAAGUAUCCUCAAUGAAGGGCUACUGAAGAGUCUUCUUGCAGGUUACAACCCUCGCACUUUCUAUUUUACAGCUACACAGUAACAAACGUACAAAGACACAAACUCCGCUCCAGACUGUUUUAUUUUUGGAUGUUGAGGACAUGUCCAGCUCGGUUAAAUUAUAGAAAACAAAGUCCCAAAUCCACCAGCUAUCAUGGCCGCUGGUUUACUGGUCCUUCAACUCCUUCAGCCUCCUGAUAGCGGACUUGA
Molecule: long non-coding RNA, 2253 nt
Organism: Oreochromis niloticus (Nile tilapia)
Lineage: Eukaryota; Metazoa; Chordata; Actinopteri; Cichliformes; Cichlidae
Exons: 2
Source: RefSeq, a predicted model, not a curated record